CUGCUGUGCUGCUGCAGCUCUCCCAGCCACCUCUGCUCAGUGCUUUCUUUCACAAGAGAAGUGUAACUAGAAAACUGCUCAGCCAGAAUCCUCCACCAUCCAGGCACAAGAAAACUGAGUUUUCAAGAAGGUUAAUCUGGAGGCUCAACAAAGAAAACACUGACAGCAGAGAAGAGCUAACAUGAAAAGGAGGCGGCUCAGAGUAGUGCCUAAAGACUGCAUCAACUGGGAAAUUAUUUCAAAACACCUGAUGUAAUUGGAGAGCUCCCAUCAGGCUUUCAGACAAGGAUGGAUGUCAUCAAGCCAAGCCAUGGGAUCAUCACCAGCGGUUAAACUG
This is a long non-coding RNA of Falco peregrinus (peregrine falcon), 337 nucleotides long. RefSeq lists it as uncharacterized. The transcript is spliced from 3 exons. NCBI's taxonomy places the organism in Eukaryota, Metazoa, Chordata, Aves, Falconiformes, Falconidae. The record is from RefSeq and is a predicted model, not a curated record.